AGGGAACUAGCUCAGUGGUGGAGUGCAUGCUUAGCACGCACAAGGCCCUGGGUUCAAAUCCCAGGACCUCCA
RNAcentral lists this transfer RNA (72 nucleotides) under Camelus bactrianus (Bactrian camel). It matches the Rfam family "tRNA". From Rfam's summary of the family: Transfer RNA (tRNA) molecules are approximately 80 nucleotides in length. Their secondary structure includes four short double-helical elements and three loops (D, anti-codon, and T loops). The record is from Rfam by way of RNAcentral. Lineage: Eukaryota; Metazoa; Chordata; Mammalia; Artiodactyla; Camelidae. RNAcentral also lists the same sequence under 2 other names.